This 247-nucleotide ribosomal RNA is filed under the name uncultured bacterium. RNAcentral's name for it is "partial 16S ribosomal RNA". It matches the Rfam family "Bacterial small subunit ribosomal RNA", at positions 77 to 339 of the family's 1533-position model. The record is from RNAcentral.
CCUUCGGGUGCGAGUAGAGUGGCGGACGGGUGAGUAACGCGUGGGAAUCUGCCUAGUAGUGGGGGAUAACAAUCGGAAACGGUUGCUAAUACCGCAUACGCCCUCCGGGGGAAAGGCUUCGGCCGCUCAUGGAUGAUCCCGCGUCUGAUUAGCUUGUUGGUGAGGUAACGGCUCACCAAGGCGACGAUCAGUAGCUGGUCUGAGAGGAUGAUCCGCCACACUGGUACUGAGACACGGACCAGACUCC